CGUAGCCGCGGUAAUACGGAGGGUGCAAGCGUUAAUCGGAAUUACUGGGCGUAAAGCGCACGCAGGCGGUCUGACAAGUCAGAUGUGAAAUCCCCGGGCUUAACCUGGGAACUGCAUUUGAAACUGUCAGGCUGGAGUCUUGUAGAGGGGGGUGGAAUUCCAGGUGUAGCGGUGAAAUGCGUAGAGAUCUGGAGGAAUACCGGUGGCGAAGGCGGCCCCCUGGACAAAGACUGACGCUCAGGUGCGAAAGCGUGGGGAGCAAACAGGAUUAGAUACCCCGGUAGUCCCUGUCUCUUAUACC
RNAcentral lists this ribosomal RNA (301 nucleotides) under uncultured bacterium. RNAcentral's name for it is "partial 16S ribosomal RNA". It matches the Rfam family "Bacterial small subunit ribosomal RNA", at positions 510 to 808 of the family's 1533-position model. The record is from RNAcentral.